AUUGAACGCUGGCGGCAUGCCUUACACAUGCAAGUCGAACGGCAGCGGGGGAGAAGCUUGCUUUUCCUGCCGGCUAGUGGCGAACGGGUGAGUAAUACAUCGGAACGUGCCCUGUAGUGGGGGAUAAGUAGUCGAAAGAUUAGCUAAUACCGCAUACGACCUGAGGGUGAAAGUGGGGGACCGCAAGGCCGCAUGCUCUAGGACCGGCCGAUGUCUGAUUAGCUAGUUGGUGGGGUAAAGGCCUACCAAGGCGACGAUCAGUAGCGGGUCUGAGAGGACGAUCAGCCACACUGGGACUGAGACACGGCCCAGACUCCUACGGGAGGCAGCAGGGGGGAAUUUUGGACAAUGGGCGAAAGCCUGAUCCAGCAAUGCCGCGUGUGUGAAGAAGGCCUUCGGGUUGUAAAGCACUUUUGUCCGGAAAGAAAUGGCUCUGGUUAAUACCUGGGGUCGAUGACGGUACCGGAAGAAUAAGGACCGGCUAACUACGUGCCAGCCGCCGCCGUAA
This 508-nucleotide ribosomal RNA is filed under the name uncultured bacterium. RNAcentral's name for it is "partial 16S ribosomal RNA". It matches the Rfam family "Bacterial small subunit ribosomal RNA", at positions 30 to 523 of the family's 1533-position model. The record is from RNAcentral.